Ribosomal RNA from Pteropus vampyrus (large flying fox), 123 nucleotides. The record is from Ensembl. Lineage: Eukaryota; Metazoa; Chordata; Mammalia; Chiroptera; Pteropodidae.
UCUUGUAGUCAGAAUUUUAAUGUUAAUAAGUUAUUUUAAAACAUUCAGGAGGAAGCUAAGCCAAGUUGGGCCUGGUUAGUACUUGGAUGGGAGACCACCUAGGAAGACCAGGUGCUGUAGGCA